This 442-nucleotide unclassified non-coding RNA is filed under the name Hevea brasiliensis (rubber tree). The record is from RNAcentral. Lineage: Eukaryota; Viridiplantae; Streptophyta; Magnoliopsida; Malpighiales; Euphorbiaceae.
ACUUCUGCCAUACAUCAUUUUGGCGCCCUGAUUCCUCACUCUUCUCAGCAUCGGUUUCCAGCCGACUUUUUGCAGGUUGAGUUCUGGAGUGAGUUCGUGAUCGAGUGCUGCUAGUAUCACUCAGAGAAGCAAGUUCUUCAAGUAACUCACGCUCUUUGGUACUGUAAAUGUGAGCAAAAACCAUGGAGACAAGCUUGAGAAAUUAUGUGAACUAUUUAUAGUAUCAGAGUAUAUCACAGUUAAUUAUCAAAUAAGUUUGGUACUCUGAACUAAUCUAUUAUGAAAGGGCCAAAAAUUAAGUAAACAUCUAUCAUGAUCCAGUUUGAGCUUUGUGAUAUUUAAAACAAAAACAAAAUUGUAUCACUGCAAAUUAGAAGAACAAAGAAGAAGGAAAAAAGUUAAGCUGUAUUACACGGAGGAUAGACCAGGAAUCUAGAAGAAU